RNAcentral lists this ribosomal RNA (459 nucleotides) under uncultured bacterium. RNAcentral describes it as "partial 16S ribosomal RNA". It matches the Rfam family "Bacterial small subunit ribosomal RNA", at positions 338 to 795 of the family's 1533-position model. The record is from RNAcentral.
CCUACGGGUGGCAGCAGUGAGGAAUAUUGGUCAAUGGGCGCAAGCCUGAACCAGCCAAGUCGCGUGAGGGAAGACUGCCCUGUGGGUUGUAAACCUCUUUUAUAAGGGAAGAAAAGUGGGGACGUGUAGGCAGAUGCGCGUACCUGAUGAAUAAGCAUCGGCUAACUCCGUGCCAGCAGCCGCGGUAAUACGGAGGAUGCGAGCGUUAUCCGGAUUUAUUGGGUUUAAAGGGUGCGUAGGCGGUAUUUUAAGUGAGUGGUAAAAGGUCGGGGCUUCACCUUGAGUGGCCGUUGAAACUGGCGGCCUCGAGUUCAGACGAGGUAGGCGGAAUUCGUUCUGUAGCGGUGACAUGCUUAGAUAUCACUUAGAACCCCGAUCGCGAAGGCAGCUUACCGGACUGUCACUGACGCUGAGGCUCGAAAGCGUGGGUAUCAAACAGGAUUAGAUACCCGUGUAGUC